GACAGAGGGUGCAAACGUUGUUCGGAUUUACUGGGCGUAAAGCGCUCGCAGGUGGUUCGUCGCGUCGUGCGUGAAAGACCCCGGCUCAACUGGGGAGUGUCACGCGAUACUGUUCGACUUGAAGGCAGGAGAAGGAAGUGGAAUUCCCGGUGUAGUGGUGAAAUGCGUAGAUAUCGGGAGGAACACCAGUGGCGAAGGCGACUUCCUGGCCUGUUCUUGACGCUGAGGCGCGAAAGCUAGGGUAGCAAACGGG
This 253-nucleotide ribosomal RNA is filed under the name uncultured bacterium. Its description in RNAcentral is "partial 16S ribosomal RNA". It matches the Rfam family "Bacterial small subunit ribosomal RNA", at positions 524 to 776 of the family's 1533-position model. The record is from RNAcentral.